RNAcentral lists this ribosomal RNA (402 nucleotides) under uncultured bacterium. RNAcentral's name for it is "bacterial SSU rRNA". It matches the Rfam family "Bacterial small subunit ribosomal RNA", at positions 355 to 774 of the family's 1533-position model. The record is from RNAcentral.
UGGGGAAUAUUGCACAAUGGGCGAAAGCCUGAUGCAGCAACGCCGCGUGAGUGAUGAAGGCCUUCGGGUUGUAAAGCUCUGUCUUCUGGGACGAUAAUGACGGUACCAGAGGAGGAAGCCACGGCUAACUACGUGCCAGCAGCCGCGGUAAUACGUAGGUGGCAAGCGUUGUCCGGAAUUACUGGGCGUAAAGGAUGCGUAGGCGGAUAUUUAAGUCAGAUGUGAAAUCCCCGGGCUUAACUUGGGGGCUGCAUUUGAAACUGGGUAUCUAGAGUGCAGGAGAGGUAAGUGGAAUUCCUAGUGUAGCGGUGAAAUGCGUAGAGAUUAGGAAGAACACCAGUGGCGAAGGCGACUUACUGGACUGUAACUGACGCUGAGGCAUGAAAGCGUGGGGAGCAAACA